AUAACCGGGAGAAAUUCCGACUAAUACCGCAUACGUCCUCCGGGGGCAUCCCCUGGGGAUGAAAGAUUUAUCGGUGAAGGAUGGGCAUGCGUGAUAUUAGGUAGUUGGCGGGGCAACGGCCCACCAAGCCCACGAUAUCUAGGGGUUCUGAGAGGAAGGUCCCCCACAUUGGUACUGAGACACGGACCAAACUCCUACGGGAGGCAGCAGUGAGGAAUAUUGGUCAAUGGACGAGAGUCUGAACCAGCCAAGUCGCGUGAAGGAAGACGGAUCUAUGGUUUGUAAACUUCUUUAGUGCGGGAACAAAGCGGCGUCGUGACGCCGGAUGAGUGUACCGCAAGAAUAAGCAUCGGCUAACUCCGUGCCAGCAGCCGCGGUAAUACGGAGGAUGCGAGCGUUAUCCGGAUUUAUUGGGUUUAAAGGGAGCGCAGGCUGCGAGGCAAGUCAGCGGUCAAAUGUCGGGGCUCAACCCCGGCCUGCCGUUGAAACUGUCCUGCUAGAGUUCGAGUGAGGUAUGCGGAAUGCGUUGUGUAGCGGUGAAAUGCAUAGAUAUGACGCAGAACUCCGAUUGCGAAGGCAGCAUACCAACUCGCGACUGACGCUGAGGCUCGAAAGCGUGGGUAU
This 624-nucleotide ribosomal RNA is filed under the name uncultured bacterium. RNAcentral describes it as "bacterial SSU rRNA". It matches the Rfam family "Bacterial small subunit ribosomal RNA", at positions 143 to 768 of the family's 1533-position model. The record is from RNAcentral.